Molecule: ribosomal RNA, 661 nt
Filed under: uncultured bacterium
Lineage: Bacteria
Description: bacterial SSU rRNA
Rfam family: Bacterial small subunit ribosomal RNA
Source: RNAcentral
AUAGCCUUUCGAAAGAAAGAUUAAUACCCGAUAGUAUAGUAUUUCCGCAUGGUUUCACUAUUAAAGAAUUUCGGUUAUCGAUGGGGAUGCGUUCCAUUAGAUAGUUGGCGGGGUAACGGCCCACCAAGUCAACGAUGGAUAGGGGUUCUGAGAGGAAGGUCCCCCACAUUGGAACUGAGACACGGUCCAAACUCCUACGGGAGGCAGCAGUGAGGAAUAUUGGUCAAUGGACGAGAGUCUGAACCAGCCAAGUAGCGUGAAGGAUGACUGCCCUAUGGGUUGUAAACUUCUUUUAUACGGGAAUAAAGUGGAGUAUGCAUACUCCUUUGUAUGUACCGUAUGAAUAAGGAUCGGCUAACUCCGUGCCAGCAGCCGCGGUAAUACGGAGGAUCCGAGCGUUAUCCGGAUUUAUUGGGUUUAAAGGGGGCGUAGGCGGGUGCUUAAGUCAGUUGUGAAAGUUUGCGGCUCAACCGUAAAAUUGCAGUUGAUACUGGGCGCCUUGAGUGCAGCAUAGGUAGGCGGAAUUCGUGGUGUAGCGGUGAAAUGCUUAGAUAUCACGAAGAACUCCGAUUGCGAAGGCAGCUUACUGGACUGUAACUGACGCUGAUGCUCGAAAGUGUGGGUAUCAAACAGGAUUAGAUACCCUGGUAGUCCACACAGU